UUAGCGUCAACAAGUUAGUAGUAGUAGAGCGACCAGGCAGAAACCCAUGCUGCUCAUCACAGACCACAUUCUUGAAGUUGUAGUACACUCUAUUAUAUAGGCAAAUUUCAAAUACCUUAGAGAAUCCAGAUAAGACCGAGAUAGGUCUAUAAUUGGAUACUAUGAAAUUUUUGAUUCAUUUGGAAGAAUGCCAAUUAUUAAUUUUUCUCUCAGACCAUCAGAAGGGGAAGAAGAAGCAUUGGAGCAAGAGAGAAACAUCAUCAGAGAACAACAAGAAAAACUGGAGAGAGCUGCCAUAGAAUUCGACAAUAUAUAUAACAGUCAAAUGGAGAUUGCAAAUUGUUAAAAAAAGGAUGAUGAUG
Molecule: long non-coding RNA, 362 nt
Organism: Aphidius gifuensis
Lineage: Eukaryota; Metazoa; Arthropoda; Insecta; Hymenoptera; Braconidae
Exons: 3
Source: RefSeq, a predicted model, not a curated record